Molecule: ribosomal RNA, 856 nt
Filed under: Staphylococcus sp. CECRI-16/07
Lineage: Bacteria; Bacillati; Bacillota; Bacilli; Caryophanales; Staphylococcaceae
Description: partial 16S ribosomal RNA
Rfam family: Bacterial small subunit ribosomal RNA
Source: RNAcentral
CGAGCUUUUGCUCAGUCCAACGGACCCUACUUACCCAGUAGCUAAAGGUACAGUAUGGACCCUAAGUUGAGCCAGGCCCUAUAGACUGGACUACUUCCGGAACCGGAGCUAAUACCGGAUAAUAUUUCGAACCGCAGGGUUCGAUAGUGAAAGAUGGCUUUGCUAUCACUUAUAGAUGGACCUGCGCCGUAUUAGCUAGUUGGUAAGGUAACGGCUUACCAAGGCAACGAUACGUAGCCCACCUGAGAGGGUGAUCGGCCACACUGGAACUGAACACGUCUCCAAACUCCUACGGGAGGCAGCAGUAGGGAAUCUUCCACAAUGGGCGAAAGCCUGACGGAGCAACGCCGCGUGAGUGAUGAAGUCUUCGGAUCGUAAAAUCUGUGAUUAGGGGAGAACAACGUGGAAGUUACUGUGCGCCUCUUGACGGGACCUGAUGCAAAGAGCUCGGGCGAAGUUAGGGGGCAGGCUGCGGGGGAAAUCGGGGGACAAAGUGACAGGUGGUGCAUGGUUGUCGUCAGCUCGUGUCCUGAGAUGUUGGGUUAAGUGCCCGCAACGAGCGCAACCCUUAAGCUUAGUUGCCAUCAUUAAGUUGGGCACUCUAAGUUGACUGCCGGUGACAAACCGGAGGAAGGUGGGGAUGACGUCAAAUCAUCAUGCCCCUUAUGAUUUGGGCUACACACGUGCUACAAUGGACAAUACAAAGGGCAGCGAAACCGCGAGGUCAAGCAAAUCCCAUAAAGUUGUUCUCAGUUCGGAUUGUAGUCUGCAACUCGACUACAUGAAGCAGGAAUCGCUAGUAAUCGUAGAUCAGCAUGUUACGCUGAAUACGUUACGGGGUAACAAGGACACCAGC